Macrobrachium nipponense is the source of this 966-nucleotide long non-coding RNA. RefSeq lists it as uncharacterized. Lineage: Eukaryota; Metazoa; Arthropoda; Malacostraca; Decapoda; Palaemonidae. The transcript has 6 exons. The record is from RefSeq and is a predicted model, not a curated record.
ACUUAACGUUGGUUCGUGUUUGACGUACUGUCACGUUGCUCUUGAAGUCCUGAUCACCUAUCCAGUAACCAUUCUAGGGUGACAUUGUAGCACGUGUAGAAGAGAAAUUAAGGAAAAUUGCUGUCCUAUGGAUUAGUUACUGAAAAUAAAGGAAAUGGAAAAUCAUACAGUGGAACAAGAACGAAUAUGUCAACCGAAGAAACUGCAAUUUCCGGCUGCAAGACUUGAAGCACCCCCACGGCAUCUCAGUGAUGGAUGUUCUUUCGUAACCAACCCCUCUUCAAUACAGUGCUCGUCUGACCAAGCAGUGUAUAUGUCAUUGCAGUGAAGUGUUUGCCAUCUCCAGCGUUUGGAAGGAUUUGUACUAGUUACAGCUCUCCGUUGGGCCCAAAACUUUGAUUAUCGACUACUGACACUUAGAGAAAAUUAUUCUGGAUGAUGAGGAAGGCCAUCAUACUAUGAGAGCUCUCCGUUGGGCCCAAAACUUUGAUUAUCGACUACUGACACUUUGUGAAAAUUAUUCUGGAUGAUGAGGAAGGCCAUCAUACUAUGAGAGGAACAAGCGCAGCAGUGAUCUCAUUUCGUAAUUGCAAGAAUGAGAUGAGGCCAAACAGCAUUCGAUAAUGAUCGACCUGGCUGCAGAAUACGAUAGAAGAGCCUCAUGUUAGCAUUCGCAUUUCGUCAGUGUCCAUUUUACGAGUAGAAGUUCACGCUAACGAAGGCUUGUGUUUGGCACUGUAUAGGAUUCUGGGCUACACAAGCAAUGUCAACUUACGCGCUGCCGCAGAUUCCUUCAUCAUACGUUCCUCAAAAGAAGGAGACGCGAAUCGUUCUCCUCGUCAGCCGGGCCGCGACUCCUGGGACCCCGAAAGCAGCGGAGUCCGGGAGGACAAUCUGUAAUCAGAGAUAUGAACCAGAGCGAGCAAUCGCCCAAGAAAACUUUCGCUCCUCGAAAUUAAUUGAAUU